RNAcentral lists this ribosomal RNA (614 nucleotides) under uncultured Bacillota bacterium. Its description in RNAcentral is "bacterial SSU rRNA". It matches the Rfam family "Bacterial small subunit ribosomal RNA", at positions 28 to 637 of the family's 1533-position model. Lineage: Bacteria; Bacillati; Bacillota. The record is from RNAcentral.
GAUGAACGCUGGCGGCGUGCCUAAUACAUGCAAGUCGAGCGAGGCCCUUCGGGGCCUAGCGGCGGACGGGUGAGUAACACGUGGGUAACCUGCCUGUAAGACUGGGAUAACUUCGGGAAACCGAAGCUAAUACCGGAUAAUUUCGAGCAUCGCAUGAUGCUUGAUGGAAAGGCGGCUUCGGCUGUCACUUACAGAUGGACCCGCGUCGCAUUAGCUAGUUGGUGAGGUAACGGCUCACCAAGGCGACGAUGCGUAGCCGACCUGAGAGGGUGAUCGGCCACACUGGGACUGAGACACGGCCCAGACUCCUACGGGAGGCAGCAGUAGGGAAUCUUCGGCAAUGGGCGAAAGCCUGACCGAGCAACGCCGCGUGAGCGAUGAAGGCCUUCGGGUCGUAAAGCUCUGUUGUUAAGGAAGAACAAGUACGAGAGUAACUGCUCGUACCUUGACGGUACUUAACGAGAAAGCCACGGCUAACUACGUGCCAGCAGCCGCGGUAAUACGUAGGUGGCGAGCGUUAUCCGGAAUUAUUGGGCGUAAAGCGCGCGCAGGCGGUUUCUUAAGUCUGAUGUGAAAGCCCACGGCUCAACCGUGGAGGGUCAUUGGAAACUGGG